CAGACUCCAGAGUCCAGAGUCAAGACUGCAGACAACACAAUGGCGGCUUUCUUACUUCAUCUUAACUGGAAUCUUGAACAAUGCAGAUUAGCAAAGGUGUCGAAAAGUUCUCUAAGGGAAUCCCAGAUCAAUAUUAAUUUUCAGGAAUUGGGAGCUGAUAAACUUUGGAGCACAAACUAGACGACGCCAUCUUUUAAGUGAAUCUUUUAAAACCUUAAUAUCUUCAAGGGAACCUUCCGACGUCUCCGCCACCCUACUGGAAGUUGGUACGACUUUCGGUCGAGAAGUGCCCAGGGCACCAGCUUGGUCUGGAACCUCAUACAACUGUUGAGAUUCAUCAUCGACGAAUCCGGAACCAUCUUCGCUUUGUACGGUGUGAGAAAGGAGUUAUGGAGGCUGGGGGUCAUUCCUGGCCAGUCGUGGUGGUGGUGGUAAGGGCCUCCUAACCUUCUCUACCCACAUGCCUUAUGUGCCUAUCCAGCCUCUGGUCCACCUUGAGGUGGUAAGGGCCUUCCACCCCUC
Macrobrachium nipponense is the source of this 522-nucleotide RNA transcript. RefSeq lists it as uncharacterized. Lineage: Eukaryota; Metazoa; Arthropoda; Malacostraca; Decapoda; Palaemonidae. The transcript is spliced from 4 exons. The record is from RefSeq and is a predicted model, not a curated record.